UUGGCAUGUGUCAUUACUAGUGAUUCCAUUCCAUGAUGUAACUCUUUUGUGCACUCUUAUUCUUUAUUCUGUGCCUUUUAUGUUCUAUGCUUGCUAACUUCUUAAGUUUGAUUCUGACUAUAUCAUUUUUGAGAGACGGCGUAUAACACCUGAUGUUAACAAUGAAUUGCAAUAACCAGUCAGGAUUUUCCCUGGAAUCACAUUUUUGAUACGAGAUCUGGUAGAUGAAGGAUUUGGUUGAGUUGCCGGGAUUGAGAUGCUGGGGCGCAGGGAUACUGCACUUGACAUGGCCAAGUUUGUCUACAUGGAUGUCCAUGUGAAGCUCACUGAUGGCCGGCAAGAAAACUACACUAUUGGUCUCCAGGGCUUCCUUGUCUUCAACGCUGUUGGAGGUGGAACUUGCUAUGGCCUUGGUUCUCUUCUCCUUGAGCAGCUCUUUGUUGACUGUGGAAUAAAUUACAAGCUUGAGUUCACUUGUGUGUCCUCACUCUCUCAUUGAACACAUUUAUGUGGUUGUUCUUAACAACGAGGCUAUCUAUGCCAUCUGCCUCUAGUCCCUUGAUAUUGAGCGCCCAACCUACACCAACCUGAACAUGCUUAUGUCUCAGGUCAUAUCAUCAUUGGCUUCUCCUCUGGGGCUUGUUGGUGUUCCGAGUGUUGAUGUCAAUGACCUCCAAACCAAUCUGGUGGCCUACCCAAGUAUCCACUUCGUGCUUUCCUCGUAUACGCGCAAUUUAGGUACCUCCGCUGGAAUACUAGAGGCGAUGACACUAAAGUCUUGAUC
This is a long non-coding RNA of Lolium rigidum, 784 nucleotides long. RefSeq lists it as uncharacterized. The record is from RefSeq and is a predicted model, not a curated record. The transcript is spliced from 4 exons. Lineage: Eukaryota; Viridiplantae; Streptophyta; Magnoliopsida; Poales; Poaceae.